Osmerus eperlanus (European smelt) is the source of this 643-nucleotide long non-coding RNA. RefSeq lists it as uncharacterized. NCBI's taxonomy places the organism in Eukaryota, Metazoa, Chordata, Actinopteri, Osmeriformes, Osmeridae. The transcript is spliced from 3 exons. The record is from RefSeq and is a predicted model, not a curated record.
UACUCUCCCUGUGUUCUGUGGUUCAGGUAGAUUCAGUCUUUACACUCAGAUAACUAACACUGUCUUUUUUCAGACUGAGAGAGAAACCUGAUUGCUGCUUUGGCUGACUACCUGAACUCUGACCCCUGCUCCUGCUCUGACUGACCCAGAGAGAACUCAGACGCAGAGAGAACCGGACCAGAACUCCUGCUUGGCUGGUGAUCAGAUUUUUAGUCACUGAGGUUCAGUCCAUCACAUCACUGAGUAUAGGAGUGUUUCACAUUUUAAUCACAGAGUUUUUGUGGUUUAUCACAACUGCUGAGUUCACACAUGAAUAUAAAUGUAGUGAAAACAGACCUGUAAACACUGACUGAAGUUAGAGCCAUGUGAGCUGAGCUGUUCUGCCUGUAUAGUGGAUCAGAACAGCUCCCAGCAGCAGAGUCUGACAGUAGAAAGCUGACAGUUGAAAGCUGACAGUUUUAAUGGAACAUCACUAAAGGCAGAAAUCAGUGUGUAAAGUGAGCAGAACAUGUUGUGCAGUGAUCAGUUCUGUAUUGUUCUGCUUCAUGUUGAACAAGUCAGUGGGUCUUGAGAUUAUUUUAAUCAAGUCCACAUUUCAUAGUACCAGCUGUUUUCACACACAUCUGGAAACUACUGGCCUAAA